Molecule: long non-coding RNA, 615 nt
Filed under: Anas platyrhynchos platyrhynchos (common mallard)
Lineage: Eukaryota; Metazoa; Chordata; Aves; Anseriformes; Anatidae
Description: lncRNA (ENSAPLG00000030032.1)
Source: RNAcentral
AAAUAAACAGACUCCGAGGUUCAAGUAUGUGUGGCAUCUUGCUUUUCCUUCACGAGCAGUGCAAACAAAUGUAGCAGCCUUCCUUCCACGACUUCUGGGCUUCUGCAGGCAUUGCCAAUUGAUAAUGUAGUAGUAAUAUUAACACAUGCCUGUUCAAAAAUGUGAUACAUACUUUUGGGUCUUUGAGAUUAGUUCCUCUGAAGUGCUUUUUCUUCGGCUGCCUGACAAGGUUUCUGGCUCCACUUCAGUCUGGUAAGAAGACAGCUGCUCAACUUCUGACACAAAUGAAGAAAAUUGAUGGCGGCUGAGUCUGGUACGGGGACGGCUCAAAGCACACAGGCUCCAGAGGGGCUGCUCUGACGGGACGAGUGUCUGCAGGAGGAACUGCCGAGCCCUGCAAAGCCUGCCUAGCCCACCUGUGUCCCGAGGGCUCUGAAUGUUCAAAAGGCUCAAGGAAGGCCGGUGUUCUGCAGCAUCCUUUGGUGGUGCCGUCUGGUGGAGAAGGAGCUCGGGACAACUGCAAGAACCGACCCCUGUGAGCUUUCUGCCCGUGAUAACCCCAGUCCUUUAUUUGGACACUGAGAAGGAUCCACCAUCACUACCACAUGGAAGCUG